Molecule: long non-coding RNA, 1039 nt
Filed under: Rattus norvegicus (Norway rat)
Lineage: Eukaryota; Metazoa; Chordata; Mammalia; Rodentia; Muridae
Description: long non-coding RNA NONRATT003822
Source: RNAcentral
GUCUCCUGGCAGCCCAGGGCAGCCUGGCCAUUGCCAUGAGUGUCCUACCCAGUGACUGUACCCAGCCCGCAGUCCUGCAGCUGAAAGAUCGGCUUUUCCAUGCCCAAGGUUCUACCGUCUUGGGCCGACAGGCUCCUGCUUUCCCGUUUCCCCGCGUUGCUGUAGGAGCUGCUCUCCACCCAAAAGAGACAUCAUCACACAGAAUGGGAUUCCAGCCUCCUCGCCAGGUCCCAGCUCCAUCUGUGAGGCCGAGGGCCGCAGCUCAGCCGUCAGUGAUGCCUUUCCUCCCCUCCCAUCCCAUCCCUUCUGUGGGCUCGUGGACACAGUCCUCAAGUGACUACAGGGUCCCCAAACCCCAAGCAACCUUGCCUGUGCAUUUCGUCCCUGGAGUAAGGCCUGCUUUCUCUCAGCCACAGCCAUUCGGAGGACAAAGUGUCCAAGCUAUAAACCCUGUUGGAUUCUGUGGAACAUGGCCUCUUCCUGGUCCUACUCCAGUCAUGGCACCCCCAGAUGUCAUGCAGCCUGGCUCUACCCACCUGCCUGAAACUCCUAGACUGCUCCCUCUGCCUCCUGUGGGACCACCAGGUCCCACCCCUCUGAGCUCCCAACCUGCAGCCUCUCCUGUCACUUUCUCUGUGGCUCACCCUCCUGGCGGCCCUGGAGCACCACGCUCUAGUGCCCUCCCGAGCUCUGGCAUCUUGGCCACUCGUCCAGGACCCCAGGAUACCUGGAAAGUUGCUCCAGCCUCCCAGGAAAACCUCCAAAGGAAAAAGUUGCCUGAGACAUUUAUGCCUCCAGCACCAAUAAUUACAGCUCCACUUAUGAGCCUUGGCCCUGAGCCACAACAGGCCCUGCUGCCACAGUCCCUAGUCUCCGGUGCAAGCCUGCCUCCUCCUGGAGCCCCGAGAGAAUGCAGCCUGCAGCAACUCCAGCCACUGCCCCCUGAGAAGACACAGAAAGAGCUGCCCCCAGAGCAUCAGUGCCUGAAGGACAGCUUUGAGGCGCUCCUUCAGCGCUGUUCCCUGACCGCCACUGACCU